This 3266-nucleotide ribosomal RNA is filed under the name Durio zibethinus. RNAcentral's name for it is "eukaryotic LSU rRNA". It matches the Rfam family "Eukaryotic large subunit ribosomal RNA". Lineage: Eukaryota; Viridiplantae; Streptophyta; Magnoliopsida; Malvales; Malvaceae. The record is from RNAcentral.
AGACCUCAGGUCAGGUGGGAUCACCCGCUAAGUUUAAGCAUAUCAAUAAGUGGAGGAAAAGAACUUUACCAGGAUUCCCCUAGUAACAACAAGCGAACCAGGAAGAGCCCAGCUUGAGAAUUGGGUGUCCCUGGCAUUCGAAUUGUAGUAUGGAGAAGCAUCCUCAGUGAUGGAUCAGGCCCAAGUCCCCUGGAAAAGGGCACCGAAGAGGGUGAGAGCCCCGUUGUGCCCAGACCCUGUCGGACCACGAGGCGCUGUCCGUGAGUCGGGUUGUUUUGGAAUGCAGCCCCAAUCGGGCGAUAAAUUUCAUCCAAGGCUGAAUAUGGGCGGGAGGCCGAUAACGAACAAGUACUGCGAGGGAAAGAUGAAAAGGACUUUGAAAAGAGAGUCAAAGAGUGCUUGAAAUUGUCGAGAGGGAAGCGGAUGGGGGCCGACGAUGCGCCCCGAUUGAAUGUGGAACGGUGAGAGCCGAUUCACCGAUCGACUCGGGGUGUGGACUGAUGCGGGUCGCGAUGGUGGCCUAAGCCCGGGCUUUCGAUGUGACGCAGAGACGUCAUCGUCACAAUCGUGGAACGCAACACGCACCGUCUCGACGUGCCUUGACAGCAACAUGCUCUAGGCGUCGGCCUGCGGGCUCCCCAUUUGGUCCGUCUUGAAACAUGGACCAAGGAGUCUGACAUGCGUGUGAGUCAACAGGCUAAGAAACUCAUAAGGCACAAGGAAGCUGAUUGGAGGGAUCCCUCGUGGGUGCACCACCAAUCGACCUUGAUCUUUUGAGAAGGGUUCGAGUGCGAGCAUGCCCAUCAGGACCCGAAGGAUGGUGAACUAUGCCUGAGCGAGGUGAAGCCAGAGAAAACUCUGGUGGAGGCCUGCAAUGAUACUGACGUGCAAAUCAUUCAUCUGACUUGGGUAUAGGGGUGAAAGACUAAUCGAACCAUCUAGUAGCUGGUUCCCUCUGAAGUUUCCCUCAGGAUAGCUGGAGCCCCUAUCAAGUUCUAUCGGGUAAAGCCAAUGAUUAGAGGCGUCGGGGGUGCAACACCUACGACCUAUUCUCAAACUUUAAAUAGGUAGGACGACACGGCUGCUUCGUUGAGCCAUGCCACGGAAUCGAGGGCUCCAAGUGGACCAUUUUUGGUAAGCAAAACUGGUGAUGCGAGAUGAAUCGGAAGCCCGGUUACGGUGCCCAACUGCGUGCUAACCCAGAACCCACAAAAAGUGUUGGUCGAUUAAGACAGCAAGACGAUGGUCAUGGAAGUCGAAAUCCGCUAAGGAGUGUGUAACAACUCAUCUGUCGAAUCAACUAGCCCCAAAAAUGGAUGGUGCUUAAGCGCGUGACCUAUACUCGACUAUCGGGGUAAGGAUCAGGCCCCGAUGAGUAAGAGGGCACGACGAUCAUCGUAAAACCUGAGGCACAAGCCCGAGCGGAGCGAUCGUCGGUGUAGAUCUUGGUGGUAGCAACAAAUGUUUAAACAAAAACUUUGAAGGCUGAAGAGGGGAAAGGUUCCAUGUGAACGGCACUUACACAUGGGUUAGUCGAUCUUAAGAGAUGGGGGAAGCCCAUUCGACAGCGCAUCCCGUGCGAGCUUCAAAAAGGAAUCGGGUUAAAAUUUUUAAAUCGGGACAUGGCGGCUGACGGUAAUGUUAGGGAGUUCAAAGAUGUCAAUGGGGGCCUCGAGAAGAGUUAUCUUUUCUAUUUAACGAUCCGCCCACCCUGAAAACGGCUCAGUCGAAGGUAGGGUCCAGCAAUCAAAAGAGCACCGUACGUCAUGUGGUAUCCGAUGUGCCCCUGAUGGCCCUUGAAAAUCUAGAGGAUCGAGUGCCGUCCGUACCCAGUCAUACUCAUAACCGCAUCAGGUCUCCAAAGUGAAUAGCCUCUAGUCGAUAAAAUAAUGUAGGCAAGGGAAGUCGACAAAAUGGAUCCGUAACCUCAGAAAAAGGAUUGGCUCUGAGGGCUAGGCAUGGGGGUCCCAGUCUCGAACCCGUCAGCUGUCGGUGCUCUGCUCGAGUUGCUCUCGUGAUGAGAACGAUCGCAGCGUGUCGGUCGGGGGACGGACUGGAAACGGCUCCCUCGAAGCCUUCCCCGGACGACGAGCAGUUUACCCAGAAUUGGUACGAACAAGGGGAAUCUGACUGUUUAAUUAAAACAAAGCAUUGCGAUGGUCCCGGUGGAUGCUCACGUAAUGCGAUUUCUGCCCAGUGCUCUGAAUGUCAAAGUAAAGAAAUUUAACCAAGCGCAGGUAAACGACGGGAGUAACUAUGACUCUCUUAGGUUAGAUAAAUGCCUCGUCAUCUAAUUAGUGACGUGCAUGAAUGGAUUAACGAGAUUCCCACUGUCCUUAUCUACUAUCUAGCAAAACCACAGCCAAGGGAACGAGCUUGGUGGAAUCAACGAGGAAAAAAGACCCUGUUGAGCUUGACUCUAGUCCGACUUUGUGAAAUGACUUGAGAGGUGUAGGAUAAGUGGGAGCUCUCGGGCGAAAUUGAAAUACCACUACUUUUAACGUUAUUUUACUUAUUUCGUGAAUCGAAGGUGGGGCACGACCCCUUUUUUUGGACCCAAGGCCGACUUCAACCGAUCGAUCCAGGUGAAAGACAUUGUCAGGUGGGGAGUUUGGCUGGGGUAACACAUCUGUUAAAAGAUAAUGCAAGUGUCCUAAGAUGAGCUCAACGAGAACAAAAAUCUCAUGUGGAACAAAAAGGUAAAAGCUCGUUUGAUUUUGAUUUCUAGUACAAAUACGAAUCGCGAAAGUGUGGCCUAUUGAUCCUUUAGACCUUCGAGAUUUGAAGCUAGAGGUGUCAGAAAAGUUACCAUAGAGAUAACUGGCUUGUGGUAGCCAAGCGUUCAUAGCGACAUUGCUUUUUGAUCUUUCGAUGUCGGCUCUUCCUAUCAUUGUGAAGUAGAAUUCACCAAGUGUUGGAUUGUUCACCCACCAAUAGGGAACAUGAGCUGGGUUUAGACCGUCAUGAGACAGGUUAGUUUUACCCUACUGAUGGCGGCGUCACGAUAGUAAUUCAACCUAGUACGAGAGGAACCGUUGAUUUACACAAUUGGUCAUCACGCUUGGUUGAAAAGCUAGUGGCGCGAAGCUAUCAUGCGCUGGAUUAUGACUGAAUGCCUCUAAGUCAGAAUCUGAGCUAGAAGUGACGCGCAUGCCCGCCUCUCGAUUGUCAACCCACAGUAGGGGACCAUGGCCUCUAAGGGCACAUGUCGUAGGUGCAGCCCCUGCGACAGACGAGCUACACGAGCCUCUUUAGAGCUCAAUUCC